AGCUCCAAUAGCGUAUAUUAAAGUUGUUGCAGUUAAAAAGCUCGUAGUUGGAUCUCGGGUAUCCUCUUGGUGGUCCUGUUCACGCAGGUACUGCCUUGAUGACCUAACCGGUGGCUGAACAACUCCGAGUGCCCUUCACUGGGUGCCCGCGAGUGGCCAUUGCGUUUACUGUGAAAAAAUUAGAGUGUUCAAAGCAGGCUUCUAUAGCCUGAAUAGUCAUGCAUGGAAUAAUGGAAAAUGACACUGGUGCAUUUCUGUUGGUCUCUGUAACUGGUGUAAUGAUUAAGAGGGACUGCCGGGGGCAUUGGUAUGGCGGGGUUAGAGGUGAAAUUCUUGGAUCCUCGCCAGACCAACAAAAGCGAAAGCAUUUGCCAAGAAUGUCUUCA
This 386-nucleotide ribosomal RNA is filed under the name marine Metazoa environmental sample. RNAcentral's name for it is "SSU rRNA". It matches the Rfam family "Eukaryotic small subunit ribosomal RNA", at positions 587 to 972 of the family's 1831-position model. Lineage: Eukaryota; Metazoa. The record is from RNAcentral.